UCCGGCUCAACGCCGGCAGUCUCUCUAGAGUCCCCACCAUUACGUGCUGGCAACUAGAAACGGGGGUUGCGCUCGUUGCGGGACUUAACCCAACACCUCACGGCACGAGCUGACGACAGCCAUGCACCACCUGUCAGGGGCCCUUACGGACACCGCGUCUCUGCGGCUUUUCCCCUGAUGUCAAGCCCAGGUAAGGUUCUUCGCGUUGCAUCGAAUUAAAGAACAUGCUCCGCUGCUUGUGCGGGCCCCCGUCAAUUCUUUUGAGUUUUAGCCUUGCGACCGUACUCCCCAGGCGGGGCACUUAAUGCGUUAGCUUCGACACCGAGGGGGUCGUUCCCUCCGGCAUCUAGUGCCCAUCGUUUACGGCGUGGACUAC
RNAcentral lists this unclassified non-coding RNA (376 nucleotides) under uncultured bacterium. RNAcentral's name for it is "contains 16S-23S intergenic spacer region". The record is from RNAcentral.